UACGAAGGGGGCUAGCGUUGUUCGGAAUCACUGGGCGUAAAGCGUACGCAGGCGGCUUUGCAAGACAGGUGUGAAAUCCCCGGGCCUAACCUGGGAACUGCAUUUGUGACUGCAUCGCUAGAGUCUGUCAGAGGGGGGUGGAAUUCCACGUGUAGCAGUGAAAUGCGUAGAGAUGUGGAAGAACACCGAUGGCGAAGGCAGCCCCCUGGGAUGAGACUGACGCUCAUGUACGAAAGCGUGGGGAGCAAACAGG
RNAcentral lists this ribosomal RNA (253 nucleotides) under uncultured bacterium. RNAcentral's name for it is "partial 16S ribosomal RNA". It matches the Rfam family "Bacterial small subunit ribosomal RNA", at positions 524 to 776 of the family's 1533-position model. The record is from RNAcentral.